RNAcentral lists this ribosomal RNA (237 nucleotides) under uncultured bacterium. RNAcentral's name for it is "partial 16S ribosomal RNA". It matches the Rfam family "Bacterial small subunit ribosomal RNA", at positions 540 to 776 of the family's 1533-position model. The record is from RNAcentral.
GUUGUUCGGAUUCACUGGGCGUAAAGGGUGCGUAGGCGGUUUGACAAGUCUGAUGUGAAAUCCCGCAGCUUAACUGCGGAACUGCAUUGGAAACUGUUUGACUAGAGGAAUGGAGGGGAGACUGGAAUACUUGGUGUAGCAGUGAAAUGCGUAGAUAUCAAGUGGAACACCAGUGGCGAAGGCGAGUCUCUGGACAUUUCCUGACGCUGAGGCACGAAAGCCAGGGGAGCAAACGGG